Molecule: unclassified non-coding RNA, 671 nt
Filed under: uncultured Prochlorococcus sp.
Lineage: Bacteria; Bacillati; Cyanobacteriota; Cyanophyceae; Synechococcales; Prochlorococcaceae
Description: partial may contain 16S ribosomal RNA, 16S-23S ribosomal RNA intergenic spacer, and 23S ribosomal RNA
Rfam family: tRNA (bases 303-375)
Source: RNAcentral
GUGGAGGAGGACGCCGAAGGUGGGGCUAAUGACUGGGGUGAAGUCGUAACAAGGUAGCCGUACCGGAAGGUGCGGCUGGAUCACCUCCUAACAGGGAGACAACAAAAUGUUUAAUAUUAUUAUUUUGUCACCUUAGGUCGAUCGGUAUCUCACAUUCUUAAUUCAUUAAGAAUUUCAUUUCCUAAGUUUUUCUAGGUCACACCCAUUAUUUUUCCUGGGCCAUUAGCUCAGGUGGUUAGAGCGCACCCCUGAUAAGGGUGAGGUCCCUGGUUCAAGUCCAGGAUGGCCCAUAUCUCUAUGUUGGGGGUAUAGCUCAGUUGGUAGAGCGCCUGCUUUGCAAGCAGGAUGUCAGCGGUUCGAGUCCGCUUACCUCCACUGAUUACCACCUCUUUCAUAACUGUUAGUACAGGAAAUGUUUUGAGUUGUGAUCAAAUUCUGAAAGAAUCUAGCUUCCUAAUGAAGUCAUUAAGAUGCUGGACUCAUUGAAUUAAUUUCAUUGUUUUCAGAGAACCUUGACAACUGCAUAGAUUAUUUUUAAAGACAAUAAGCAUCUUUAAUGAUGCAGAUUUAUUAUUUGUGCGAAUGCAUUAAUAACAAUUCUAUUAAGCUGAUGCUUCAAUUUUUGAAGUUAUUGGUCAAGCUACAAAGGGCUCACGGAGGAUACCUAGGCA